CAAUAGCGUAUAUUAAAGUUGUUGCAGUUAAAAAGCUCGUAGUUGGAUUUCUGGUUGAAGCGACCGGUCGGGCGUUGAUUCGUCUGCACUGGAGUCGGUUUUGGCCAUCCUCUAGGAAAGUGCGUCUGGUAUUAAGUUAUCGGGCGUAUGAUCCUGGUCUUUUACUGUGAAAAAAUUAGAGUGUUUAAAGCAGGCCUUCGCCUCGAAUACAUUAGCAUGGAAUAAUAAGAUAGGACUUUGGUCUAUUUUGUUGGUUUGCAGACCGAAGUAAUGAUUAAUAGGGAUAGUUGGGGGUAUUUAUAUUCCGAUGUCAGAGGUGAAAUUCUUAGAUUUUCGGAAGAUAAACUUAUGCGAAAGCAUUUACCAAGGAUGUUUUCAUUAA
RNAcentral lists this ribosomal RNA (382 nucleotides) under uncultured eukaryote. Its description in RNAcentral is "partial 18S ribosomal RNA". It matches the Rfam family "Eukaryotic small subunit ribosomal RNA", at positions 592 to 976 of the family's 1831-position model. The record is from RNAcentral.